GGUGAACGCUGGCGGCGUGCCUAAUACAUGCAAGUCGAGCGAACGGACGAGAAGCUUGCUUCUCUGAUGUUAGCGGCGGACGGGUGAGUAACACGUGGAUAACCUACCUAUAAGACUGGGAUAACUUCGGGAAACCGGAGCUAAUACCGGAUAAUAUUUUGAACCGCAUGGUUCAAAAGUGAAAGACGGUCUUGCUGUCACUUAUAGAUGGAUCCGCGCUGCAUUAGCUAGUUGGUAAGGUAACGGCUUACCAAGGCAACGAUGCAUAGCCGACCUGAGAGGGUGAUAGGCCACACUGGAACUGAGACACGGUCCAGACUCCUACGGGAGGCAGCAGUAGGGAAUCUUCCGCAAUGGGCGAAAGCCUGACGGAGCAACGCCGCGUGAGUGAUGAAGGUCUUCGGAUCGUAAAACUCUGUUAUUAGGGAAGAACAUAUGUGUAAGUAACUGUGCACAUCUUGACGGUACCUAAUCAGAAAGCCACGGCUAACUACGUG
Molecule: ribosomal RNA, 497 nt
Filed under: uncultured bacterium
Lineage: Bacteria
Description: partial 16S ribosomal RNA
Rfam family: Bacterial small subunit ribosomal RNA
Source: RNAcentral